GGACGUGUAGCUCAGUUGGAUAGAGCGGUCGAUUGCUAAUCGACAGGUCGGGAGUUCGAAUCUCCUCUCGUAUU
This 74-nucleotide transfer RNA is filed under the name Gillisella vitis. Its description in RNAcentral is "Agrobacterium vitis (Allorhizobium vitis) tRNA-Ser". It matches the Rfam family "tRNA". Rfam says of the family: Transfer RNA (tRNA) molecules are approximately 80 nucleotides in length. Their secondary structure includes four short double-helical elements and three loops (D, anti-codon, and T loops). Lineage: Bacteria; Pseudomonadati; Pseudomonadota; Alphaproteobacteria; Hyphomicrobiales; Rhizobiaceae. The record is from RNAcentral.